Octopus bimaculoides (California two-spot octopus) is the source of this 99-nucleotide non-coding RNA. Lineage: Eukaryota; Metazoa; Mollusca; Cephalopoda; Octopoda; Octopodidae. The record is from Rfam.
UUUUAUAAAAUUAUACUAAAAUUGGAAUGAUACAGAGAAGAAUUAGCAUGGCCCCUGCGCAAGAAUGGCACGCAAAUUUGUGAAGCGUUCCAUAUUUUU